This 76-nucleotide transfer RNA is filed under the name Methanobacteriota archaeon. Its description in RNAcentral is "Euryarchaeota archaeon tRNA-Phe". It matches the Rfam family "tRNA". Rfam says of the family: Transfer RNA (tRNA) molecules are approximately 80 nucleotides in length. Their secondary structure includes four short double-helical elements and three loops (D, anti-codon, and T loops). RNAcentral also lists the same sequence under 2 other names. The record is from RNAcentral. Lineage: Archaea; Methanobacteriati; Methanobacteriota.
GCGACGGUAACUCAGCUGGGAGAGUGCCAGACUGAAGAUCUGGAAGUCGCCGGUUCAAGCCCGGCCCGUCGCACCA